UCAUUUAAAGAAAGCGUAAUAGCUCACUGGUCGAGUCGGCCUGCGCGGAAGAUGUAACGGGGCUAAACCAUGCACCGAAGCUGCGGCAGCGACGCUUAGGCGUUGUUGGGUAGGGGAGCGUUCUGUAAGCCGUCGAAGGUGUGCUGUGAGGCAUGCUGGAGGUAUCAGAAGUGCGAAUGCUGACAUAAGUAACGAUAAAGCGGGUGAAAAGCCCGCUCGCCGGAAGACCAAGGGUUCCUGUUCAACGUUAAUCGGAGCAGGGUGAGUCGACCCCUAAGGCGAGGCCGAAAGGCGUAGUCGAUGGGAAACAGGUUAAUAUUCCUGUACUCGGUGUUACUGCGAAGGGGGGACGGAGAAGGCUAUAUCAGCCGGGCGACGGUUGUCCCGGUUUAAGCGUGUAGGCGGAGKGUCCAGGUAAAUCCGGACGCUURUUAACGCUGAGGCGUGACGACGAGGCACUACGGUGCUGAAGUGAUAAAUGCCCAGCUUCCAGGAAAAGCCUCUAAGCAUCAGGUAACACAGAAUCGUACCCCAAACCGACACAGGUGGUCAGGUAGAGAAUACCAAGGCGCUUGAGAGAACUCGGGUGAAGGAACUAGGCAAAAUGGUGCCGUAACUUCGGGAGAAGGCACGCUGGCGCGUAGGUGGAGGGACCUGCUCCCCGAGCCGAAGCCAGUCGAAGAUACCAGCUGGCUGCAACUGUUUAUUAAAAACACAGCACUGUGCAAACACGAAAGUGGACGUAUACGGUGUGACGCCUGCCCGGUGCCGGAAGGUUAAUUGAUGGGGUUAUCCGCAAGGAGAAGCUCUUGAUCGAAGCCCCGGUAAACGGCG
This 834-nucleotide ribosomal RNA is filed under the name Pantoea agglomerans. RNAcentral describes it as "bacterial LSU rRNA". It matches the Rfam family "Bacterial large subunit ribosomal RNA", at positions 1120 to 1932 of the family's 2925-position model. The record is from RNAcentral. Lineage: Bacteria; Pseudomonadati; Pseudomonadota; Gammaproteobacteria; Enterobacterales; Erwiniaceae.